CCUACGGGGGGCUGCAGUGAGGAAUAUUGGUCAAUGGGCGAGAGUCUGAACCAGCCAAGUAGCGUGAAGGAUGACUGCCCUAUGGGUUGUAAACUUCUUUUAUAUAGGAAUAAAGCGUUCCACGUGUGGGUUUUUGUAUGUACCUUAUGAAUAAGGAUCGGCUAACUCCGUGCCAGCAGCCGCGGUAAUACGGAGGAUCCGAGCGUUAUCCGGAUUUAUUGGGUUUAAGGGGAGCGUAGAUGGGUUGUUAAGUCAGUUGUGAAAGUUUGCGGCUCAACCGUAAAAUUGCAGUUGAUACUGGCAGACUUGAGUGCAGAAGAGGAGGGUGGAAGUCGUGGUGUAGCGGUGAAAUGCGUAGAUAUAUCGAAGAACUCCAGUGGCGAAAGCGGCUUUCUAGUCUGUCACUGACGUUGAGGUUCGAAAGUGUGGGUAGCAAACAGGAUUAGAUACCCGUGUAGUC
RNAcentral lists this ribosomal RNA (460 nucleotides) under uncultured bacterium. RNAcentral describes it as "partial 16S ribosomal RNA". It matches the Rfam family "Bacterial small subunit ribosomal RNA", at positions 338 to 795 of the family's 1533-position model. The record is from RNAcentral.